This 355-nucleotide ribosomal RNA is filed under the name uncultured bacterium. RNAcentral's name for it is "partial 16S ribosomal RNA". It matches the Rfam family "Bacterial small subunit ribosomal RNA", at positions 338 to 710 of the family's 1533-position model. The record is from RNAcentral.
UCUACGGGAGGCAGCAGUAGGGAAUAUUGCUCAAUGGGGGAAACCCUGAAGCAGCAACGCCGCGUGGAGGAUGAAGGUUUUCGGAUUGUAAACUCCUUUUGUUAGAGAAGAUAAUGACGGUAUCUAACGAAUAAGCACCGGCUAACUCCGUGCCAGCAGCCGCGGUAAUACGGGGGGUGCAAGCGUUACUCGGAAGCACUGGGCGUAAAGAGAGCGUAGGCGGGUGAUCAAGUCAGAUGUGAAAGCCUAUGGUUCAACCAUGGAGCUGCAUUUGAAACUGUUAUUCUAGAGUAUGGUAGAGGUAGGUGGAAUUCUUGGUGUAGGGGUAAAAUGCGUAGAGAUCAAGAGGAAUACU